Molecule: long non-coding RNA, 349 nt
Filed under: Elaeis guineensis (African oil palm)
Lineage: Eukaryota; Viridiplantae; Streptophyta; Magnoliopsida; Arecales; Arecaceae
Description: long non-coding RNA (EGUI_LNC061214)
Source: RNAcentral
AGGGGCCAAAGAAGAUCCGACCUGAUACCCCUUUAGUGGUUGUUUCUGAGGCCCGCACCGAACCUGUCAUUGCAUUGUCUAUCCCGGGGGUCCUUCUGCCACCCGAAGUUUCUCCACCAGUAGAGCAACCAAGCGGUCAUGAUGACGAUGUGAUUCUCGAUCCAGUAUCGGCCAGCAUGGCACCGACAAUGUCUCAGGCACCACCAUCAUCCCGACAAUCUUUCACACCCGAAUGGAUGGCGGCACCAAUCGAUCAGCCAUCCACUCAGGAGCAUGGAAAGGUACCAUAGGUUUCAAUCGAUGGUGAGACUCCGGAAGACUUGACGGAGCAUUUUGACAUUCGGGUACC